This 491-nucleotide ribosomal RNA is filed under the name uncultured bacterium. RNAcentral describes it as "partial 16S ribosomal RNA". It matches the Rfam family "Bacterial small subunit ribosomal RNA", at positions 29 to 506 of the family's 1533-position model. The record is from RNAcentral.
AGUGAACGCUGGCGGUAGGCCUAACACAUGCAAGUCGAACGGCAGCACAGUAAGAGCUUGCUCUUACGGGUGGCGAGUGGCGGACGGGUGAGGAAUACAUCGGAAUCUACUUUUUCGUGGGGGAUAACGUAGGGAAACUUACGCUAAUACCGCAUACGACCUACGGGUGAAAGCAGGGGAUCUUCGGACCUUGCGCGAUUGAAUGAGCCGAUGUCGGAUUAGCUAGUUGGCGGGGUAAAGGCCCACCAAGGCGACGAUCCGUAGCUGGUCUGAGAGGAUGAUCAGCCACAAUGGAACUGAGACACGGUCCAGACUCCUACGGGAGGCAGCAGUGGGGAAUAUUGGACAAUGGGCGCAAGCCUGAUCCAGCCAUACCGCGUGGGUGAAGAAGGCCUUCGGGUUGUAAAGCCCUUUUGUUGGGAAAGAAAAGCAGCAGGUUAAUACCCCGCUGUUCUGACGGUACCCAAAGAAUAAGCACCGGCUAACUGCGU